UACGUAGGGUGCAAGCGUUGUCCGGAAUUAUUGGGCGUAAAGAGCGUGUAGGCGGCCUGAAAGGUCAGCUGUGAAAACUCGAGGCUCAACCUCGAGACGUCGGUUGAAACCAUCUGGCUAGAGUCCGGAAGAGGAGUGUGGAAUUCCCGGUGUAGCGGUGAAAUGCGCAGAUAUCGGGAAGAACACCCGUGGCGAAGGCGGCACUCUGGGACGGUACUGACGCUGAGACGCGAAGGCGUGGGGAGCGAACGGG
RNAcentral lists this ribosomal RNA (253 nucleotides) under uncultured bacterium. RNAcentral describes it as "partial 16S ribosomal RNA". It matches the Rfam family "Bacterial small subunit ribosomal RNA", at positions 524 to 776 of the family's 1533-position model. The record is from RNAcentral.